AUACCUUUCUCGGCCUUUUGGCUAAGAUCAAGUGUAGUAUCUGUUCUUAUCAGUUUAAUAUCUGAUAUGUGAGUCAUCGACUCACACGAUAUUAACUCAAUUUUUUAAGGGGGAAGGUCCACCACGAUAGCUUGCUAUUGGGGCCUUCAAGCGUCGCCUUGGUGUUGCACUAUUGCCUUGGCCUGGCGCACCCCAC
Molecule: small nuclear RNA, 196 nt
Filed under: Nicotiana attenuata
Lineage: Eukaryota; Viridiplantae; Streptophyta; Magnoliopsida; Solanales; Solanaceae
Description: snRNA U2
Rfam family: U2 spliceosomal RNA
About the family: U2 is a small nuclear RNA (snRNA) component of the spliceosome (involved in pre-mRNA splicing). Complementary binding between U2 snRNA (in an area lying towards the 5' end but 3' to hairpin I) and the branchpoint sequence (BPS) of the intron results the bulging out of an unpaired adenosine, on the BPS, which initiates a nucleophilic attack at the intronic 5' splice site, thus starting the first of two transesterification reactions that mediate splicing.
Source: Rfam by way of RNAcentral